GCGGGUCUCUUCGGAGGCCAGCGGCGGACGGGUGAGGAACACGUGGGUAAUCUGCCUUUCAGGCCGGAAUAACGCCCGGAAACGGGCGCUAAUGCCGGAUACGCCCGCGAGGAGGCAUCUUCUUGCGGGGGAAGGCCCAAUUGGGCCGCUGAGAGAGGAGCCCGCGGCGCAUUAGCUAGUUGGCGGGGUAACGGCCCACCAAGGCGACGAUGCGUAGCCGACCUGAGAGGGUGACCGGCCACACUGGGACUGAGACACGGCCCAGACUCCUACGGGAGGCAGCAGUAGGGAAUCUUCCGCAAUGGGCGCAAGCCUGACGGAGCAACGCCGCGUGAGCGAAGAAGGCCUUCGGGUUGUAAAGCUCUGUUGCUCGGGGAGAGCGGCAUGGGGGAUGGAAAGCCCCAUGCGAGACGGUACCGAGUGAGGAAGCCCCGGCUAACUACGUGCCAGCAGCCGCGGUAAAACGUAGGGGGCGAGCGUUGUCCGGAAUCACUGGGCGUAAAGGGUGCGUAGGCGGUCGAGCAAGUCUGGAGUGAAAGUCCAUGGCUCAACCAUGGGAUGGCUUUGGAAACUGCUUGACUUGAGUGCUGGAGAGGCAAGGGGAAUUCCACGUGUAGCGGUGAAAUGCGUAGAGAUGUGGAGGAAUACCAGUGGCGAAGGCGCCUUGCUGGACAGUGACUGACGCUGAGGCACGAA
This 696-nucleotide ribosomal RNA is filed under the name Alicyclobacillus acidocaldarius. RNAcentral describes it as "bacterial SSU rRNA". It matches the Rfam family "Bacterial small subunit ribosomal RNA", at positions 66 to 757 of the family's 1533-position model. The record is from RNAcentral. Lineage: Bacteria; Bacillati; Bacillota; Bacilli; Caryophanales; Alicyclobacillaceae.